RNAcentral lists this ribosomal RNA (252 nucleotides) under uncultured bacterium. RNAcentral's name for it is "partial 16S ribosomal RNA". It matches the Rfam family "Bacterial small subunit ribosomal RNA", at positions 524 to 776 of the family's 1533-position model. The record is from RNAcentral.
UACGAAGGGGGCAAGCGUUGUUCGGAAUUACUGGGCGUAAAGGGCGCGUAGGCGGCUUAUCAAGUCAGGCGUGAAAUUCCCGGGCUCAACCUGGGGCUGCGCUUGAUACUGAUGAGCUUGAAUGCGGGAGAGGAUAGUGGAAUUCCCAGUGUAGAGGUGAAAUUCGUAGAUAUUGGGAAGAACACCGGUGGCGAAGGCGGCGACCUGGUCCGAUACUGACGCUGAGGCGCGAAAGCGUGGGGAGCAAACAGG